AUACGGAGGAUCCGAGCGUUAUCCGGAUUUAUUGGGUUUAAAGGGUGCGCAGGCGGCCAUUUAAGUCAGCGGUUAAAUCGUGGGGCUCAACCCCAUUCUGCCGUUGAUACUGGGUGGCUUGAUUGCGGUCGAGGUUGGCGGAAUUCGUUGUGUAGCGGUUAAAUGCAUAGAUAUGACGAAGAACACCGAUUGCGUAGGCAGCUGACCAGACCGCAAAUGACGCUCAUGCACGAAAGUGCGGGGAUCGAACAGGAUUAGAUACCCUGGUAGUCCGCACAGUAAACGAUGAAUACUUGUUUUCGGCGAUAUAAUGUCGGAGGCAAAGCGAAAGCGAUAAGUAUUCCACCUGGGGAGUACGCCGGCAACGGUGAAACUCAAAGGAAUUGACGGGG
RNAcentral lists this ribosomal RNA (392 nucleotides) under uncultured bacterium. RNAcentral's name for it is "partial 16S ribosomal RNA". It matches the Rfam family "Bacterial small subunit ribosomal RNA", at positions 523 to 918 of the family's 1533-position model. The record is from RNAcentral.